Molecule: non-coding RNA, 136 nt
Organism: Triticum aestivum (bread wheat)
Lineage: Eukaryota; Viridiplantae; Streptophyta; Magnoliopsida; Poales; Poaceae
Source: Rfam
CACCUACUCCCUCCGUCCAGAAAUACUUGUCAUCAAAAUGAAUAAAAUGAGAUGUAUCUAGACGUAUUUUAGUUCUAGAUACGUCCCUUUUUUAUUCAUUUCGAUGACAAGUAUUUUCGGACGGAGGGAGUACCAA